RNAcentral lists this small nuclear RNA (103 nucleotides) under Capra hircus (goat). Its description in RNAcentral is "U1 spliceosomal RNA (ENSCHIG00010005640.1)". Lineage: Eukaryota; Metazoa; Chordata; Mammalia; Artiodactyla; Bovidae. The record is from RNAcentral.
NNNNNGUACCAUAAUCAAAAACAUGGUUUUCCCAGAGCAAGGCUAAUCGAUUGCAUUUCAGAUGUGCUGACCACUGUGAUUUCCCCAAAUGUGGGAAACUCAA